RNAcentral lists this transfer RNA (73 nucleotides) under Paramuricea clavata. It matches the Rfam family "tRNA". Rfam says of the family: Transfer RNA (tRNA) molecules are approximately 80 nucleotides in length. Lineage: Eukaryota; Metazoa; Cnidaria; Anthozoa; Malacalcyonacea; Plexauridae. The record is from Rfam by way of RNAcentral.
GACCGCGUAGCUCAGUUGGCAGAGCGUUGGGCUAGUAUUCCAAAGUUCGUAGGUUCGAUUCCCAGCGUGGCCA